GGACUACUCGGGUUUCUAAUCCUGUUUGCUCCCCUAGCUUUCGUGCCUCAGCGUCAGUUGUGGUCCAGUGAGCCGCUUUCGCCACAGGUGUUCCUUCCGAUAUCUACGCAUUUCACCGCUACACCGGAAAUUCCACUCACCUCUCCCACACUCAAGCCCGGCAGUUUCUCGUGCAGACUUCGAGUUGAGCCCGAAGAUUUCACACAAGACUUACCGAACCGCCUACGCACCCUUUACGCCCAAUAAUUCCGAACAACGCUUGCCCCCCUCGUAUUACCGCGGCGGCUGGCAC
RNAcentral lists this ribosomal RNA (292 nucleotides) under uncultured Acidobacteriota bacterium. RNAcentral describes it as "uncultured Acidobacteria bacterium partial 16S ribosomal RNA". The record is from RNAcentral. Lineage: Bacteria; Pseudomonadati; Acidobacteriota.